This 937-nucleotide ribosomal RNA is filed under the name uncultured fungus. Its description in RNAcentral is "eukaryotic LSU rRNA". The stretch from base 596 to 937 matches the Rfam family "Eukaryotic large subunit ribosomal RNA", at positions 1 to 335 of the family's 3401-position model. The record is from RNAcentral. Lineage: Eukaryota; Fungi.
GGAAGGAUCAUUACUGAACCGUCGACACGAGUUGUUGCUGGCCCUUGAAAGGGGGCAUGUGCACGCUCUGUUUACACAUCCACUCACACCUGUGCACCCUCUGUAGUUCUAUGGCAUUGGGGACUCCGUCCUCUCGCUGUGGUUCUGCGCCUUUACACACACACACCGUAAUACAGACUCAUGGAAUGCAUGUCGCGUCUAACGCAAUACAAUACAACUUUCAGCAACGGAUCUCUUGGCUCUCGCAUCGAUGAAGAACGCAGCGAAAUGCGAUAAGUAAUGUGAAUUGCAGAAUUCAGUGAAUCAUCGAAUCUUUGAACGCACCUUGCGCCCUUUGGCUAUUCCGAAGGGCAUGCCUGUUUGAGUAUCGUGAACACCUCAACUCUCAUGGUCCGCCAUGAUGAGCUUGGACUUUGGGGGUAUUGCUGGCCUAACCGUCGGCUCCUCUCAAACGAAUCAGCUUGCCAGUGUUUGGUGGCGUCAUGGGUGUGAUAACUAUCUACGCUCGUGGUCUUCCACCAAGUAACCUUCAGUGAUGGAGGUUCGCUGGAGCUCACAGACGUCUCUCCUCAGGGAAGACAGCUUUUUGAACGUUUGAUCUCAAAUCAGGUAGGACUACCCGCUGAACUUAAGCAUAUCAAUAAGCGGAGGAAAAGAAACUAACAAGGAUUCCCCUAGUAACUGCGAGUGAAGCGGGAAGAGCUCAAAUUUAAAAUCUGGCGUGCCUCUGGUCGUCCGAGUUGUAGUCUGGAGAAGCGUUUUCCGUGUUGGACCGUGUAUAAGUCUCUUGGAACAGGGCGUCAUAGAGGGUGAGAAUCCCGUCUUUGACACGGACUACCAAUGCUUUGUGAUGCGCUCUCAAAGAGUCGAGUUGUUUGGGAAUGCAGCUCAAAAUGGGUGGUAAAUUCCAUCUAAAGCUAAAUAUAGGCGAGAGACC